Long non-coding RNA from Oryzias melastigma (Indian medaka), 375 nucleotides. RefSeq lists it as uncharacterized. The record is from RefSeq and is a predicted model, not a curated record. Lineage: Eukaryota; Metazoa; Chordata; Actinopteri; Beloniformes; Adrianichthyidae. The transcript is spliced from 2 exons.
CAGGAGCUUCAAAAGUUGGUAUUUCCUGUUAAGUGCAGCCAGGUGAAGACAAGCAAGUCCUGCAAGAAAAAAGUUCCAAAUUCCUGCUGACCUCUCCAGUUUUGGAUCUUGAGGACGGGCUCUAGCGAGCCGUAAGAAAAGUCUCGGGUCAUCGCGGAGGCGCACUCCUUCUGACCGUGCUGGCACGCCACGUGGAGCGCCGUGUUCCCGUCCUGGUCCUGCAGCUCCAGGCUGGCCCCUUUCCUCGUCAGCUCCCUCACUACGUCCGUCAGGUUCAGGUAGGUGGCGAGGUGCAGAGGACUCUGCGGGUAGGGAAGCUGUUUUAUUUACCGAUCAGAUGUGUAAUAAGACACCACCAGAAAGAGAAAAAAAAAA